Molecule: long non-coding RNA, 2614 nt
Filed under: Gossypium barbadense (sea-island cotton)
Lineage: Eukaryota; Viridiplantae; Streptophyta; Magnoliopsida; Malvales; Malvaceae
Description: long non-coding RNA (GBAR_LNC018004)
Source: RNAcentral
UAAAUUUGCAUAUUUUAUUAAUUCAUGUCCAUUAUCGAGGUUUAAGCAAAACUCACUAAAUUUAUUAACAAAUACUCGGGAUUAGUGUUAUUUUUAAGUAAAAAGUGGUAACAGCUACUAGAAAAAACCUAUAUAAAUUAGAGUUUACAAAGAGAAAGAAAAGAACAAGGAUCACUUCAUUAUGAUAAAGGUGUUCUACAACAAGUAUAAAGCAAAACAUAACAUCUCAGUUUCCUCCCUUAAUGGAUGAACUAGCAGGCUCGACUGAAGCAUCGCCUAGCUAGGGACAAUCUUCAAGGUCUCACUCCAAAAAAUGUAAGAAGCUCUUCUACAUCCUCAACUUCAGGUGUAAAGACGACUGAUUGCUUCCACUCCUCUUGAAUGGCCUCUCAUCCCUAACCUUCGGAAUUGUAAACGUUAAAGUUAAGUAAGUUUGUGGAGACAUCUUUUAGACACUCGAAGUCUACCUUGCUUAAGUUGAAGGGAUCAGUGACCACUUGGGCAUAGAGAAUUAAGCUUGCCCUCCACUUCAGGAGAGCUUCGAUGAGAUAUUUUUAAGUAUCAUUUUGGUAUUUAUUGAGGGCCUCUCUCUGGGACUAGCGCAGCUGUUCCAACUCUACCUUGUGCUUCUCUUCUUAAGCCCUGAACCACUUCUCAGAAGUAGAUCUUUCGCUCUCUAAGUAGUUAAUCCUAUCCUUAAGUUGGUUAAUCUCAAUCUGAGCAUACCCGUACUCACUUCUCAGAAUCAUGAGUUGUGAAGGCAACCUCGCCAUCAAGCCACUUGAGCAAUGAUACUUCUAACGAACAUCAUCUAAGGUGUCUUCUUUAGAUUUUACAAACUUUUCUAAAUCAAUCAUUCUCUAUCUAUAAUGCUGGCUAGCCUCCCUAAAAGCCCCUUCCCAAAGGUUGUACUCAAGAGAUGAGAUUUAUGAGAUUUAAGCCAUAAAGUGAGAGGCGUCCUCGUAGGAAUAAAGAAAGGUAGAAGAAUAAAGCAUCUCUUAAUUAUAGUAGCAACAGGUUCAGCCAUUACUCGAUAAUCAAGUAGAGAGUGGGUAGAAAGGGUGUGAAGUCUAUGAAACCACACCAAGGGAAGUUGAUGCUUGACCCUAAGGGAAGGAUAUUUUGUGAUAAGGAAGGAAGAGUAGAGGCCUGAGACGAAAGAGCUACCCUCGAGGGAUUCUCGAGCGGGAAAGGAUCGAUAAAAUGUCUAAGAGAAUAUGAGGCAGAUGCAACAGGCCCCUUACCUGUUUGAGGUCCCAUUGAAAGUAAGCGCUUACUGCUAGGAUCCUGGACACCACUGGCGAUCCUAGCCCUCUUCUUGAAUGCUGACUUACUUAGGGGCGUAAUGGUAGCCUUGCCCUAUCCUUGAGACCCUUUUAAAAGUGAAGAAAUAUCCAUGCCUUAGGGUAAAGAUAGCAAUGACCCUGCAUCAGUAACAAGCAGGUUAGCUUGGCGUGAAGAUAAGUAAAUCCAAUUUUUCAAUCGUAUUUUGCAAAUGCAAUAAAAGUAUGAAGGGGGCUCUCUGAUGCGCCCCCAAAAGGAUAUGCAUCAAUUCGUUGCCCGAAUUGUAUGGCCAAGCUAGAAGAGCCAAGCAUACAAAAGGAUCCACCUAUUGAAGGGUAUAAAAAGAUAGACUAUAACCAUUAGGACUUAAAUUUUCCAGACAAUGUUGGAAUACAUUUCUGACUAAAACCAUUGUUGCCAAGUCAAGUGAAUUACCCCUCAGUCUUUGGUAUUGUCUUUCGGCCUCGUAGAUAUACUUUAACUAACAAGCCUCAUAGACGCUUUCACGAGGAAGUGACCACUUAGUAGGAAAACUUAAGCCCGUGCUAAGUUUACUCACCACCCUUAUGAAUUUAUCCUUCCUCGGAAGAAAAUCUGGGAUUUCAUUUUUUACGAGAGGUUCACAUUUGGGCCUCAAACUAAAACAAGCAUUACCAACAGUAGCUCCAGUUCUCUAGACCUUGAGAAGAAAGAAUCUUUGAAAAACCCCCAACAGAAGAUGUUCAUUGUGUAUUCGAAAAUUAAUAAAGAAUGCCACCAAGGUCCACCAAGACAUGACUGAUAAUUGGCUUAAAGCGAUUCUAAAAUGGUUUAAUACAGUGCAGAAGAAUAGAUGAAGAGGCAGAUGGAACCCAACCUAAUGUGCUAUAGCUAAGACGGCCCUAAUCAGGAAUCUGGAAAUCAAAAGAAAAGUUUGGGAUUUAGAGACCCUGGGCCUUCAGGUAUCACUCCAUCUCCUUCUAAGAAGUGGAGCAAUCACACAUUGUGAUCUUCAUUACUGAAAAAUUCCAAUGGGUAACUUUUUUACUGACCUAACUACAACCCUUUUCUUCAAUAAUAGUCCUCUGCAUGAAUAAGACUAACCAAGGGAAGAAUAAAAGAAAAAGGAAUAAAGGAAUUACCUUUAAAAUGAAUCAAAAAGUAGAGAAUAAUGAUUUCAGAGGAAGGCAACGAGGAGAGCUAGGGAUUAGAUGACUUUGGCAAGAUGUUGAAUAUAUAGUCGUAGUGUCUGACUAAUGGGGAAACUUGUUUAGAAAGUUAUUUGAAAAAGGGGAAAGCAGUUUAGCUUCUCUGAUAAAUAAAUGACAUCUGCCGCAAGGGAGAGAGGAAA